UACGGAGGGGGCUAGCGUUGUUCGGAAUUACUGGGCGUAAAGGGCGCGUAGGCGGUCUAUCGAGUUAGGCGUGAAAGGCCUGGGCUUAACCCAGGAAUGUCGCUUGAUACUGAUAGGCUUGAGAUCGGGAGAGGAGAGUGGAAUUCCCAGUGUAGAGGUGAAAUUCGUAGAUAUUGGGAAGAACACCGGUGGCGAAGGCGGCUCUCUGGCCCGCAUCUGACGCUAAGGCGCGAAAGCGUGGGGAGCAAACAGG
This 253-nucleotide ribosomal RNA is filed under the name uncultured bacterium. RNAcentral's name for it is "partial 16S ribosomal RNA". It matches the Rfam family "Bacterial small subunit ribosomal RNA", at positions 524 to 776 of the family's 1533-position model. The record is from RNAcentral.